RNAcentral lists this unclassified non-coding RNA (216 nucleotides) under Hevea brasiliensis (rubber tree). The record is from RNAcentral. Lineage: Eukaryota; Viridiplantae; Streptophyta; Magnoliopsida; Malpighiales; Euphorbiaceae.
AUGAAACCAGAUUACGGUUAGGUGUUAAAACUGUUCAUCAUAUAUCUUCAUCGCCUCAGGCUGGCAGUUGAAGCUUAGCAUUAUUUUUCCAGCUGAUGAAGUAAUAAUAAAAGAAAUCUGCAUAAAGGGCUGUCUGGACAAGGCCAGAGACGCAAGAAAUCCAUCUAGUGAAACGCUGCUCUGUCAGAUAGCGGUAAAUCCAGUUUAAGAUGUAAA